UGACCUCAAAUCAGGUAGGACUACCCGCUGAACUUAAGCAUAUCAAUAAGCGGAGGAAAAGAAACUAACAAGGAUUCCCCUAGUAACUGCGAGUGAAGCGGGAAAAGCUCAAAUUUAAAAUCUGUCAGUCUUUGGCUGUCCGAGUUGUAAUCUAGAGAAGUGUUAUCCGCGCUGGACCGUGUACAAGUCUCCUGGAAUGGAGCGUCAUAGAGGGUGAGAAUCCCGUCUUUGACACGGACUGCCAGGGCUUUUGUGAUGCGCUCUCAAAGAGUCGAGUUGUUUGGGAAUGCAGCUCAAAAUGGGUGGUAAAUUCCAUCUAAAGCUAAAUAUUGGCGAGAGACCGAUAGCGAACAAGUACCGUGAGGGAAAGAUGAAAAGAACUUUGGAAAGAGAGUUAAACAGUACGUGAAAUUGCUGAAAGGGAAACGCUUGAAGUCAGUCGCGUCAUCCAGGGAUCAACCUUGCUUUUGCUUGGUGUACUUUCUGGUUGACGGGUCAGCAUCAAUUUUGACCAUUGGAAAAAGAUUAAGGGAAUGUGGCAUACAUAGUGAUGUGUUAUAGCCCUUGGUUGCAUACAAUGGUUGGGAUUGAGGAACUCAGCACGCCGCAAGGCCGGGUUUUUAUUAACCACGUACGUGCUUAGGA
RNAcentral lists this ribosomal RNA (645 nucleotides) under Cortinarius mucosus. Its description in RNAcentral is "eukaryotic LSU rRNA". It matches the Rfam family "Eukaryotic large subunit ribosomal RNA", at positions 1 to 623 of the family's 3401-position model. The record is from RNAcentral. Lineage: Eukaryota; Fungi; Basidiomycota; Agaricomycetes; Agaricales; Cortinariaceae.